GCCGGGGUGCCCGAGGGGUCUAAGGGGCCGGACUUGAGAUCCGGUGGGCCGUAAGGCCCGCAGGGGUUCGAAUCCCCUCCCCGGCG
This 86-nucleotide transfer RNA is filed under the name Methanobacteriota archaeon. RNAcentral's name for it is "tRNA-Ser". It matches the Rfam family "tRNA". Rfam says of the family: Transfer RNA (tRNA) molecules are approximately 80 nucleotides in length. Their secondary structure includes four short double-helical elements and three loops (D, anti-codon, and T loops). Further hydrogen bonds mediate the characteristic L-shaped molecular structure. tRNAs have two regions of fundamental functional importance: the anti-codon, which is responsible for specific mRNA codon recognition, and the 3' end, to which the tRNAs corresponding amino acid is attached (by aminoacyl-tRNA synthetases). tRNAs cope with the degeneracy of the genetic code in two manners: having more than one tRNA (with a specific anti-codon) for a particular amino acid; and 'wobble' base-pairing, i.e. permitting non-standard base-pairing at the 3rd anti-codon position. The record is from RNAcentral. Lineage: Archaea; Methanobacteriati; Methanobacteriota.